GACGAACGCUGGCGGCGUGCUUAACACAUGCAAGUCGAACGGAAAGGCCCUGCUUUUGUGGGGUGCUCGAGUGGCGAACGGGUGAGUAACACGUGAGUAACCUGCCCUUGACUUUGGGAUAACUUCAGGAAACUGGGGCUAAUACCGGAUAGGAGCUCCUGCUGCAUGGUGGGGGUUGGAAAGUUUCGGCGGUUGGGGAUGGACUCGCGGCUUAUCAGCUUGUUGGUGGGGUAGUGGCUUACCAAGGCUUUGACGGGUAGCCGGCCUGAGAGGGUGACCGGCCACAUUGGGACUGAGAUACGGCCCAGACUCCUACGGGAGGCAGCAGUGGGGAAUAUUGCACAAUGGGCGGAAGCCUGAUGCAGCAACGCCGCGUGCGGGAUGACGGCCUUCGGGUUGUAAACCGCUUUCGCCUGUGACGAAGCGUGAGUGACGGUAAUGGGUAAAGAAGCACCGGCUAACUACGUGCCAGCAGCCGCGGUGAUACGUAGGGUGCGAGCGUUGUCCGGAUUUAUUGGGCGAAAAGGGCUCGUAGGUGGUUGAUCGCGUCGGAAGUGUAAUCUUGGGGCUUAACCCUGAGCGUGCUUUCGAUACGGGUUGACUUGAGGAAGGUAGGGGAGAAUGGAAUUCCUGGUGGAGCGGUGGAAUGCGCAGAUAUCAGGAGGAACACCAGUGGCGAAGGCGGUUCUCUGGGCCUUUCCUGACGCUGAGGAGCGAAAGCGUGGGGAGCGAACAGGCUUAGAUACCCUGGUAGUCCACGCUGUAAACGGUGGGUACUAGGUGUGGGGUCCAUUCCACGGGUUCCGUGCCGUAGCUAACGCUUUAAGUACCCCGCCUGGGGAGUACGGCCGCAAGGCUAAAACUCAAAGGAAUUGACGGGGCCCCGCACAAGCGGCGGAGCAUGCGGAUUAAUUCGAUGCAACGCGUAGAACCUUACCUGGGUUUGACAUGGAUCGGGAGUGCUCAGAGAUGGGUGUGCCUCUUUUGGGGUCGGUUCACAGGUGGUGCAUGCCUGUCGUCAGCUCGUGUCGUGAGAUGUUGGGUUAAGUCCCGCAACGAGCGCAACCCUUGUUCACUGUUGCCAGCACGUUAUGGUGGGGACUCAGUGGAGACCGCCGGGGUCAACUCGGAGGAAGGUGGGGAUGACGUCAAGUCCUCAUGCCCCUUAUGUCCAGGGCUUCACGCAUGCUACAAUGGCUGGUACAGAGAGUGGCGAGCCUGUGAGGGUGAGCGAAUCUCGGAAAGCCGGUCUCAGUUCGGAUUGGGGUCUGCAACUCGACCUCAUGAAGUCGGAGUCGCUAGUAAUCGCAGAUCAGCAACGCUGCGGUGAAUACGUUCCCGGGGCU
RNAcentral lists this ribosomal RNA (1346 nucleotides) under uncultured bacterium. RNAcentral's name for it is "bacterial SSU rRNA". It matches the Rfam family "Bacterial small subunit ribosomal RNA", at positions 28 to 1381 of the family's 1533-position model. The record is from RNAcentral.